RNAcentral lists this long non-coding RNA (6064 nucleotides) under Setaria italica (foxtail millet). RNAcentral describes it as "long non-coding RNA (SITA_LNC006301)". The record is from RNAcentral. Lineage: Eukaryota; Viridiplantae; Streptophyta; Magnoliopsida; Poales; Poaceae.
AAGGGAUCCGAUGAGGUGGAGGUGGCCGAUGAUCGGGAGCUUGAACGGAGGCGACGGUAGCUUCCGGAGCAGGUUCUCUGUUCUGGACCUUGGUGUUGCCAAGUGCACGGCGACGAGGAAGAGGAAGAAGAGGAGGGCUAGGGACUCUGGAGAUGCGUGUUCGUAUAGAGGUGCGCUAGCGCUGGAGCCGCCAUGGCUGAUCAACCUGCUCGUUGCAGUUUUUGUAGAGCUCGGAAGUCGUGAUCCGUCAGACAGCAAGAAGAGUAUGCUACCAUUUUUUUUCUUUUCUGCAUCACCGCCAGAUCAGAUCAGACAGGAUUUUAUGAGAGAAUCCUAUGGAAUCAUCAUCCUUUUUAGUAAACUUCACCAGACGCAGGAACGCGAGCCGAUUAAUUGGCAAGCUUUUCUCUCAGAAUAUGUGUUUGGUGCUGGAUUAAUUGGCGUGCAGGUUGAAGAAAGGCUGCUUUAUAGAUUAGCCCCCGAAGAAAAAGGAAAUUCCGACGGAAAGUUUGUGUCUUGUGGUUUUGCAAAAAGGACCCUGGAAAGGCUAGAUUCUCAAGUUCCAGUCCUACCCGAGAUCUUUUGCAAAUAUAACCCUAUAAAUUCUGUUAUUUGCAAGUACUUUUACGUGUGUCUUGCAAAUCUUUCUUGCUAGCCCCUGCCGUCUAUGGCUAAUUGCAUCUGGGUCCCUGCCACCUUGUUUGUCUCAUAACUUCUUCCUUCUAGCUCCAUUUUGAGUGAUUCUUUCGCUCACACGUUCGUCUUAACGAGUAGAUUAGUUUGGUACUGCUUUUAUGGUACUGCUUUUAAGUAAUAUUUUUGAUGAUUGGUGUACUGUUUUUAAUUAAAUGCAUUUGUUUGCUUGUAUGUGCUUGUGUGACGCGUAUAGAAGAAGCGUAGUUCGAGGAAUCCAAAGAGGAGGGAGACUGAAGACUCUGAGCAGCAGAAGGGCUUGGAGGAAGGCAAGUGUCCUUGGUCAUUCCCGUUUAUACCUAAAUGACAUGCAUUGAUUCACAAUAUUUAUUUAUCGCAAGCAUUAAUAUGAUGGGUUCCUAUUAAGGAUGAUGCCUAGUUUCUUUUGAUCAUACCUUGCAGCCAGGUUGUUCAAAUAAUCUGGAGGGUAGAUGAUGCUUAGUUUGCUCAACUGGGUUGGUAAAUAAACAAUAUGGUUAAUUUUAUUUAUUUACUCUAUGUUCCUUUAUGUUGAUUUAAUUACAAGACCAUAUGUUCUAAACGAACAUGGAGCGACCACCCAGGAAAAUAGUACAACCACAAGGACUACAUGGCUCUGGUCUUGGCUAACUAAUUAGAGGACUCUAGUGUUGGAUUGGUGUUAAGGGGGGGCAUGUCUCGCGGAACCUCGUGCAUUGGAACACACUAGGGAAGUCUUUGUUAAGGCCUCUAGCGUCCCUAUGCAAUCACACCUCGGAAGUGUGGUAUUGUGCCUACUUUUGCACAGCAUGGUUGAAUCCAAAGUUCACCUGAACUUUUAUGCGACUUGUGGGUAAAGAUGUACAACCUCUGCAAAGUGUAAAACUGUUAUAACAGCCGUGCUCACGGUCAAGAGCGGCCUGGACCCUCACAUGAUUAAUUUACUUGAAGAUGAUACUAGUGUGUUAUUUAUGUUCAUGCUUAUGGUAUAUCAAUGCUCUAUAUUAAUUGUGGGAUGGUAUAAACUUACAUUUGCUAGUGAUUAGGUGUUGAAUAAAAACUUGACCAACUAAAAGUGCUAAUCGCAGUUAACCUUGUCAGCCUUCCACCAUAUAAAGCCUUGCAUAUCAUAGAUAUUUCUCUCUUGCUGAGUACGACAUGUGCUCACGCUUGUGUUUUAUAUAUUGCAUCUACAACGUCCGGAUUGCUGCUCAGACCCGGAGAACUUUGAAGAUUACUGAAGUUUUUGGAGGAGUUCUAGGUGAGUCCACCAGUCAGCUGCCUGUGGAGUUGUUGGAGAUGCGCUGCCUAUAUUAGAGAUUUCUAUCUCAAUUCUAGUUACAUAAUUUAUGUAAUUCUCUCUCUACGCUAUAACACAGUAUUUGAUAUUUACUGAAGUCAUCGUAUGUUUGAAACUUGAUCCUGGCAUACAUAUGAUAGUCAUCUGGUUUUACAUUUAAAACCGGGUGUGACAGGAUGCUACCGAUGGCUCUGCAACUUGAUGCAAUUCAUGCACGCUGCUGGGUGGCACCCAUGGUGCGAGAUGUCCAGGAAGAGUGCAUUGGCACUGUGGCGGCGGAUCCGACCAGUAGCAGCAGCUCGCACAGGUCACGACAAUGUGCAUCAUCACAAAAAUCCGAGGCUGCCCGCGCAGGUCGAGCUUUUAUUUGCUUGGAUCGGAUAUUCCUUCCUACUAAUAUCAUGGCUAUCUGUGUGAGGCUCAUAGGCUGGAGGUCUAAGGGUAGCCAUAGACACUACUAUAGAACUGACCGAGGGCUGAUUAGGCUCAUAGGCUCAUAGGCUCAUAGGCUGGAGGUCUGAUUAGCUCAUAUUCUUUGUCUCACCCUAUGGGUAUCGUGGAGGCACGGCGCCAAGCUGGCGGCACGGUGUAGCCUCAAUUCAGAACUUUCCUAGCCAGGGCGUGGCCGAGGGCGAUUGGUUGCUCAACCUGAUGAGAACUUGGGUGGGUGCUCCUAGAUGGGAGAGAAUAGGGUGACGGAUGAGAAUGCAGAUGAGGGACGGGGCUCAGACGAGGGGUGGGUUGGAGACAUGUUUUCACUGUUGAACUCUUAGCGUCAAGAUGAGAGGUGAGAUGAGAUACCGGUAGGACCUGCUCUUACCAUGGCACUUCAGCAACCCCACCCCAACCCCGCGCGCAAGUCAAAAUUUGAGGACCAUAUGUACAAUACGUGUGCAAACAGAACCAUAAUUUUACUAGUAUCGAGGGAUUUUAGUUAUUUCUUCUAAAAAAUCUCUUGGGAAAUCGUAUUUUUGUAGUACAACAUAUAUAGAAAAUAAGUAUUACUCACAAAUAAACUGCCCUUUUCUUUAGUAUUCUUGGUUUUUGUUAUUAUUUUAUUUAAUCUUAAGAUUUAUAUAUGCAUAAAAAAGUAAUUUAGUAUCUUCAAAUAUGGAAACGUGGUCUUAGGAAUAGGGCUCAUAUUUUAUUCUUGAGCAUGCCUAGUGGAAAAAUACUAUCUAAAAAACCGCAAAGAAAUUUAAUACCUAAGCCUUCGAUCCACUCUACUUUUUGUAUACUAGUUUACCUGCAAUCCACUGGCUUGCACAUUAUAUUUCAUCAUACGGAAAUGUCUGAGAUUGUGAACGGAAGCAAUUUCAUCUGUCUGCAACCCUGCAUAGCAUGUGACAGCCCGGGCUGCGUGCCAAGAAACACCCAGAGCUCCUGACACAACCGCGUGAGCACCUUCUCCGACAUGCGCACAUGAGGACCGCAUGCACCCAUAUGCAAGGUUCACAAAUACGUGCGUGCUUAAACUAUAUAUAUAUUAUACAUAGUUUAUUAUAUUUUUGGCAGGGAUAUGAUAAUCAUUAAUUAUUACUUGUAAAGAUUGGAAACGUUACAAACGAUUGUAGAAAAAAUGCGAGUCACCAGGAAGGUAGGUAGUAGAGCAUGCCGUCAGUGUCUUUCCUGUGACCUGUGUUCGUGGUGCACAUGGCAGAAUGCACAGUCUAUACAUAGGAACCAGAAGUUGGCUUCGAAACCAAAUCACUCAUUAGUCCUUCAGUACUGCAGUGAACGCUAUCUAGCUAGCUAAUUUCCCCUUGAAAUCAGUUUUCUUGCGUGGCCAUGGGUAGCCUUCCACUUGAAGCCAUGAUGCCACUGAACCCCGAUUCAUUCGCUGGGGAGUCCAGUGCCGUGGUCGACUUCCUCGCCGACUACUACCGCAACGUCGAUAAGUAUCCGGUCAUGGCCAACACCCAGCCAGGGACCAUCCGUAAGCUUCUUCCGGAGGCAGCCCCGGAGUUGGUUGGUACUCAACAAGUCGUGGGAAAUAGUGUAGUGUAAGGCCAACCAUGAUACCCUUAUACUACCUAUACUACUCAUGUAUACUACCCAUACCACAGGCGUAGGUUUCAGUAGUAUGAAAUUAAUCUUGACCGUCGGAUAUGUUUAUACUAGUCAUUUUCGAACACAAGUAUAGUCUAGUGUUGUGUUCCGUAAAAGAGCUCAUAUAAUAUGUUAUAAAACUUAUUUGUGAAAGCUGAAGACAACACCAGGGGAUAAAUUCCAGAAUAGGUGAGAACAAAAAUUUAAAAGGGCAAAAUUUGUUGAUGGAUGGAAAUGCAUAGAAUGCUUAUUACUCAAUCGACUCACAUCUCUUUUUUCUAGGAAACAAAGCUCUCAUUAGUACUCUACGUUGGAAACAAAGCACUUAUUGUUGUUCAUAGCAGCUGAGAUUGACUUACAUAUAUUUAUUUGCAAACAGGUGUGAAAUGUGAUACAAUAAUUCAGAAAGCUAGACAUCCUGAGCCAUGCGAGGGAUAAGAAGAAGCUUCUCCUUACGGUGCACAUCCAUCCCAUACGACUCUGACAUAUCGACGCCUGUCGACCCCGGCAGAAGCUCCCAGUUGAAGUGGUAGAUGAGGUUGGCAAGAAUGAUUUCGAAAGUGGCGGUGGUGAAGUUUAUACCCGGGCACAUCCUUCGCCCAGACCCAAACGGCAAGAAACGGAAGUCGUUCCCCUGGAAGUCAGAAGCAGCAUCCACGGCUUCUUCCAUGAACCGCUCAGGCAUGAACUCCUCUGCAUUCUCCCAGUAGGUGGAGUCCCUGCCUAGAGCCCACGCGUUGACGAUUACACGUGUCCCAGAGGGUAUGGUAUAUCCCUCCACCUCCCAUUCGGCCAUGGACAAGUGGGGUAUCAAAAGAGGCCCCGGCGCGUGGAGCCGCAUUGACUCUUUCAUCACCGCCGUCAGGUAGCUCAUGCCGCUCAGGUCUUGUUCAGUGACCAGUUCCUUCCCCUUGGUUGCGCACCCCCGCACCUCAGCUUGAAGCUUGGUCAUCACCUUGGGAUUCCGCAUCAGCUCAGCCAUGGCGUAGUCUAGUGCUAUGUAGGUUGUGUCCGUCCCAGCUUCAAACAUGUCCUACAUGAAUAUAUCGGUAAGUAGAACUCCAAAUCAAAUUUAACCAAGCUAGUCCAUGAAACGUCUCAUAUGUACCUCUCGUGAAAAAUAAACAUACCAUCAGUAUUGCCUUGACGUUGUCUCUGGUCAGGCCGUACUCUUGUUGAACGGAGAGCAGCACAUCGAUGAAGUCCUCCUCGUCCUCACCAUCGACCGGCUUGGUCUUGUGCUUGUCGAUGAGGCUGUCCAAAAGGUCAUCCCAUAUCUUCCUGUGCUUCACGGCCUUGGCCGAUACCAAGUCCAACCUCGCCAAGCUCGGGAAAUAGUCGUCCAGGUUAAAUCCCCCCAGGAGCUUGGCGUUCGUCUCUAACAGCUCCCGGAACAGCUGGUUCCGACCUUGUUCCCUGGGGAGCCUGCCCGUCACGGCCUGGCACACGAUGUCGUUGGCGAAGAAGCUGAAGAGCUCGCUGACGUCGACCGCGAUGCCCAUGGCGGCGGCGGCCGUCACCUUGGCUAAAACCAGCUGGACCUCCUGCUCGCGGGCGGCGCGGUUGGACCGGACCUUCGCCGCGGUAAGGAGGUGGGUGGUGAUCACCUUCCUGGCCUGGCGCCAGUACUCACCGUAGGGGGCGAAGCCGACGUCGGUGCAGCCGUAGAACAGGACGUCGGCCACCGCGGAGUGCGGCCGGGAGGCGAAGACGUGGUCGUGUGUGCGCAGGACGGCCUUGGCGGCGCGUGGGGAGGAGACGACGAGCGUUGGCACGGCGCCGAGGCGGAGGAGCAUCACGUCGGGCCCGUGCCUCUUGGCGAGGUCGCGGAGGGAGUGGUGGGGAAGGGAUCCGAUGAGGUGGAGGUGGCCGAUGAUCGGGAGCUUGAACGGAGGCGACGGUAGCUUCCGGAGCAGCUUCUCUGUUCUUGACCUUGGUGUUGCCAAGUGCACGGCGACGAGGAAGAGGAAGAAGAGGAGGGCUAGGGACUCUGGAGAUGCGUGUUCGUAGAGGUGCGCUAGCGCUGGAGCCGCCAUGGCUGAUCAACUAGUGUGCACAACACAC